AACACAUAAUGCCCUGGAUUUUUAUUUCAUUUAGUGACAGUUCAAAGGAUCCUUUAGUCUGUGUGGUGGAAGGGUCUACAAAAAAACCAACAGAACAGAUGAAGGUGGGCCAUUGGAAUGGGCAUUGGACUGGUACAGACAAAGAAAAACUACAAGUAGCCUUGUUCAGUACCAAAACUCUUCACAGAAGAGAGCGACGUCUUUUUUUAUUGUUUUUUUUUAAUAGGUUUUUUUCUUUUUUCCCAAAUGAAGGCACCCGAUAUAACUGUGGUUCAUUGGCCUUUUCGAAAGCCUUCUGGAGAGUUUUAAAAACAAGAGAAAACGACUGCUGAAUCUUUUUUUUUUUUCCUUUUCGAUUAUUACACAUUUUAUGCAGAAGGUGGAAUGAUAGGAAAUGUCAGUUACUGCAUUUUUCCCUUAUAUGUUUUUUUUUUCCAACGAGUAACAAAAGAAUUAAGUCUUUUGUGAAGGAAAUUAAAAAGUGUGAGAUAGAAAAAUAUUGACUUUAGAAAAAUGUGAAGGGGAUGAAUGAAGGGCGGGGGGGGGGGGGGGGGGGGUUACCUUGUCUUUUAAAGAGAAAAUAAAGUGUUCCGUUUUUUUAAUCAGAGUCCAAAAAAAACAAAACAAUUACAAAAGCAGCAUCAAUUUAAAAACAAUUCAUUCCAUAGAUCACAGCAGCACAGGCUCCGCCCCCGUGGGGGGUUUUUGUUACUUGUCUCGUACGGAAGAGCUUGAGUGGACACCGACAAACUGAAUCACACCUGUUCUGGACCUCUGACCUGGACCAGACCUGUGGGAACAUCAGCC
Molecule: long non-coding RNA, 807 nt
Organism: Sphaeramia orbicularis (orbiculate cardinalfish)
Lineage: Eukaryota; Metazoa; Chordata; Actinopteri; Kurtiformes; Apogonidae
Exons: 2
Source: RefSeq, a predicted model, not a curated record